This 70-nucleotide transfer RNA is filed under the name Bacteroidota bacterium. RNAcentral's name for it is "Bacteroidetes bacterium (soil metagenome) tRNA-OTHER". It matches the Rfam family "tRNA". Rfam says of the family: Transfer RNA (tRNA) molecules are approximately 80 nucleotides in length. Their secondary structure includes four short double-helical elements and three loops (D, anti-codon, and T loops). The record is from RNAcentral. Lineage: Bacteria; Pseudomonadati; Bacteroidota.
GAACGGGUCGUCUAACGGAAGGACGUCGGAGCUUGCUCCGGAGAUGAGGGUUCGAUCCCCUUUCCGCUCA